UGAACGCUGGCGGCGUGCCUAAUACAUGCAAGUCGCGCGAACAGACGAGGAGCUUGCUCCUCUGACGUUAGCGGCGGACGGGUGAGUAACACGUGGAUAACCUACCUAUAAGACUGGGAUAACUUCGGGAAACCGGAGCUAAUACCGGAUAAUAUAUUGAACCGCAUGGUUCAAUAGUGAAAGACGGUUUUGCUGUCACUUAUAGAUGGAUCCGCGCCGCAUUAGCUAGUUGGUAAGGUAACGGCUUACCAAGGCAACGAUGCGUAGCCGACCUGAGAGGGUGAUCGGCCACACUGGAACUGAGACACGGUCCAGACUCCUACGGGAGGCAGCAGUAGGGAAUCUUCCGCAAUGGGCGAAAGCUUGACGGAGCAACGCCGCGUGAGUGAUGAAGGUCUUCGGAUCGUAAAACUCUGUUAUUAGGGAAGAACAAAUGUGUAAGUAACUAUGCACGUCUUGACGGUACCUAAUCAGAAAGCCACGGCUAACUACGUG
Molecule: ribosomal RNA, 495 nt
Filed under: uncultured bacterium
Lineage: Bacteria
Description: partial 16S ribosomal RNA
Rfam family: Bacterial small subunit ribosomal RNA
Source: RNAcentral